AGAGUUAGAUCUACUACAUCAUGGUAAUUCCGUUGGAUAAUGCCGUGUGCUACUUCAUCUUUUUUUUAUCUUACAAGCUCAGUGAUGAGCCUCGCCUCAGAGCUGAGGUGGCUUUUUCAGUCCCGUAGCUCAGCUGGUUAGAGCGCUACACUGAUAAUGUAGAGGUCGGCAGUUCGAGUCUGCCCGGGACUACUUCCCGAGUAAAGGGUCAACAGUUCUAAGUUUCGAGUUGAAGAACAACUCCAAGCUUUAAACUCUUAACCAACCUGGGGGAUUAGCUCAGCUGGCUAGAGCGCCUGCCUUGCACGCAGGAGGUCAUCGGUUCGACUCCGAUAUCCUCCACUGUUCUUUAAAAUAACACCCGUUGGGGGUCAUGUGCGGUUCGAUUCCGCGGUUAUUGCACAUUGAUUUGGCAAUUAACAUUCGUGUUAAUUACCUGAAUUAAUUAAUGUUCUUUGACAUAUUGAAAGAAAUAACCUCGAGUUUUUUUAUAUUAACAAUGAGCUACAAUAAUUCGUUACUUUAAGUCUU
This 531-nucleotide transfer RNA is filed under the name uncultured Cryomorphaceae bacterium. RNAcentral describes it as "16S-23S ribosomal RNA intergenic spacer". The stretch from base 119 to 192 matches the Rfam family "tRNA". Lineage: Bacteria; Pseudomonadati; Bacteroidota; Flavobacteriia; Flavobacteriales; Cryomorphaceae. The record is from RNAcentral.